This 507-nucleotide ribosomal RNA is filed under the name Eucephalobus striatus. RNAcentral's name for it is "SSU rRNA". It matches the Rfam family "Eukaryotic small subunit ribosomal RNA", at positions 88 to 590 of the family's 1831-position model. The record is from RNAcentral. Lineage: Eukaryota; Metazoa; Nematoda; Chromadorea; Rhabditida; Cephalobidae.
CGCGAAUAGCUCAUUACAACAGCUAACGAAUCUACUUGAUCUUGACACAAUCCUACUUGGAUAACUGUGGUAAUUCUAGAGCUAAUACAUGCAUUAAAGCUCUGACCUUCGGGGAAGAGUGCAUUUAUUAGAACAAAACCAAGCGGCUUCGGCUGUUUUCGGUUGACUCAUAGUAACUGAGCUGAUCGCAUGGUCUUGCACCGGCGACGUGUCUUUCGAGUAUCUGCCGUAUCAACUUUCGAUGGUAGUGUAUCUGACUACCAUGGUGAUCACGCGUAACGGAGAAUAAGGGUUCGACUCCGGAGAGUUCGCCUGAGAAAUCGCGAACACAUCUAAGGAAGGCAGCAGGCGCGAAAAUUACCCACUCUCAGCACGAGGAGGUAGUGACGAAAAAUAACGAGACCGUUCUCUUAUGAGGCCGGUCAUCGGAAUGGGUACAAUUUAAACCCUUUAACGAGUAUCUAUGAGAGGGCAAGUCUGGUGCCAGCAGCCGCGGUAAUUCCAGCU